RNAcentral lists this long non-coding RNA (2223 nucleotides) under Linum usitatissimum (flax). Its description in RNAcentral is "long non-coding RNA (LUSI_LNC003590)". Lineage: Eukaryota; Viridiplantae; Streptophyta; Magnoliopsida; Malpighiales; Linaceae. The record is from RNAcentral.
UUGCCUUUUACAUGUUCUUUUUGGUGAUUUGGGGAAAGUCUCCCGAACUAACACGGUAUAUCCCCAUACACUCAUUGUAUUCCUUUUUUUUUACGGUACUAGAUUCUACGAACGCGCUUUACCGCUUACCACUGAGUUGUUGUGUAACAUAUAUUUUCUCACCCGUGUAGCAAAAAAGUUUAGAAACGAUACGAUAUAUAAUCGAAAUACCUUGGAUAUAUCACAAAAGACGUACACUAUACUAACCGUGAUUAGAGAAAGUACGUUUUUUGGCCUUAAAGUUGGAGAGUUGAGAAAACCUUCAACCAUACCCUCCAUUGAAGUUUGAUGGGUUCUUAACCGAACCAGCUGAUCAACCUGUCGUUAUAGCUGUUAUAAAUAGCCCGCCUCUGUUUCCACAGCUCCCCAAUCCUUUGAUUUUCUUUUAUAGCUUGGAGGCUGAAGAGCAACAACUGAAUCUUGAACAAUGAAAGUCUUCAUCAAAUAUCAUUUAUGCACGGCUACUCUCUAUAUGCUCUUUUUGUUGAGUGGCAGAUUCUGUAGCAAUUGAAUAGCAACCUUCAUUUUUCCUGCCCAUCCACAAACAAAUACAAAAUUUUACAACCAAAAUCCCCAUAUUACAAAGGGUAAAAAAAAGGCAUAACUCCAAUCUUGAACAAAUAUUCAGCGAUAAAUUUUUGGCUUAGCCAUUGAGAAAUCUUGUCUUAAGAAUAUAUCAAGCCAACAGAUUUAAAGCUCCGAUCAAAACCCAAAAAUGGAAAAAGAGCCAAAUUUCAUGAGCUUCAAAAGAAGCAAAUGUGGAAAGCAAUCGAAGUAUACAGUUUGAAGAACAAUACUUGCACAAAAGGGGAUCAGACCAACACAGGUAGAUCUUUGAAACAAACUAAAUAUAAGUGGACUUGUUUGAUCAUUAUGAACAACCACAUCAACGUCAAUAUCAUAAGUAAUUUCAGCCAAAACAACAACCUUAAAGUAGAGAAGGAAAAUGAAACAUGUGAUAUCGAAAAUCAUACAACAUAUGAUAGACGUAAGAAGGAUGGAAUUGUGUCCCUACCUUUGAUAUGAGAUUCUUAAACCUGGGCAAUAUUACCAACGUUCUAAUUCAGGGGUGGUUCCACCCCAGCCAUUGAUUUCCCUAUAUAAUCAGCGAGACUAAACCCCUACCGAUUUACACGAUAGGAUAUAGAGCCUGGAACGCCAUAUACCUGAAGUUGGUAUUUCUUGCGACAAUCAAGUUGUUCCUGUAAUCAUCAUCAACAACAAACAUACAUCCUUUAGGAUCUAAGCUUGAUAAGACUAUGGAGGAACACGAGGACAAAAAGGAUGGUUAUGAACGAUAGUGACAACAAAUUGAAAAAUCGUUAACCAAGUUACUGAAAAAGCGAAUCUAACUUGAGAAAUGACCGAGAUAAUUUUUAAGCAAAGAAUUGAUAGGUGUGGCCGAAUUCUUUUCCAAGUACAGAGCUUCUUGCUUGUAUUCGGUGAAACAAAAUAUACAUGUAACCCACUUCAAAACACUAAAAAUAAGAACUACUGAUGAGAAAUGAAACAACAACAUAUGGCUCACUUGAAAUGGAAGCUUGACAAAGGAGAAGAAUCAAAAGUUAUCCAUUACAAAAUUCCACCACUUUGGUCACUCCAAAGUCUGAAAUAAGCUGUACAACACCAAAAUCCUAAAUAGGAUUAAAACCCCAUGGAAAAGAAGGAAAAAAAAGCAAACGGACGAAGAACACUGAUUACGUACCUCAGCGUUCAUCCAAAUGGUGUCGAGCCUCCACACAUGCUGUAGGCGCAACUCGAGUUGCAGCGACGGAUUUUCCGACAACAAAAGGCGCAGCAACAUUGUCGAGGAAGGUGUGGGACGGCGAGGGUACUACGGCAAUACGGGCUGCUUCGAUACAUGCUGAAGACGAGGCUCAAGCUGGGGAGGCGGGUUUUCCGGCAUUAAAGUGCUAUGACGGUGGAUGGUGGUUUCCGAUGGCAACGCGGCACCGGGACAGCCGUAAGAUGAACCGAAAAUGGCUUGGGAAUUUAAAGGAGGGGGACAGAACUUGUAGUCGGCUGGUCUGAUAAUCUGAGGAAAUAACAGACACAUGGGCAGCCGUAAGGUGAAGCGAUUCUGGUUUGGGAAUUUAAAGGAGAGGGUCGGAAUUGACAGUCGGCCGGCAACGGGGUGCCUCUGGUAGUGUGAGGAAACGAAAUACACAUGUUAACAAUGGUGGC